Molecule: long non-coding RNA, 423 nt
Filed under: Nicotiana benthamiana
Lineage: Eukaryota; Viridiplantae; Streptophyta; Magnoliopsida; Solanales; Solanaceae
Description: long non-coding RNA (NBEN_LNC019756)
Source: RNAcentral
CUUAGCUCCAAUCCAUUGCAAUGUAUGAUAUCUUAGCUGGGAUGCAAAGGUGCAGUCCAGGAACAGGUGUUCUCUGGUUUCCACAGUUUGUUGACACAUAACACAAGUGUCUUCCACAUUCAGGCUCCAUUUAAUCAACCUAUCUUUGGUAGGUAGUCUGUCUUGUAAUAGCAGCCACAGGUUGAAGAUUGCUUUAGGUCGAGCAGCAUUCUGCAUUGUUAAGUUCUUCCAAAGGACUCUAGGUGCCUCUCCAAUCUGUUGUAAAUAGAGCAUUCUUAUAGUGCAAUCAGGUUUAUGCAACAGUUUGUGUUGUUGCAAUAGCACAGUGCCUUCAAUGAUCUUCCGGACCAUCCAACUGGCUUGUUUAGGCACAAUGAUGGUCUCCAACUGUUUCUGUUUGAUAUAAACUGUGUGGAUCCAUUU